AUGAUACAAUCAAUCCAACUGUUACCUUUGGGGUGCUUUUUGGAUGGACUAAUCUGAAGAUGUUGGCUAGCUUGCACCGCCAUCAUAUAAUCUAGAAGCAAGGGCAAGGAUUAUAGGGAAAAUAAAGGCAAUUCGCCAACCGGAGGAAAUGCCAACCAAUACAUUUUUGUACUUCCUCUGUUACAGAGUUCGUUCAGGCCUUAGGGACGCUUUCC
This is a long non-coding RNA of Triticum dicoccoides, 215 nucleotides long. RefSeq lists it as uncharacterized. The transcript is spliced from 3 exons. The record is from RefSeq and is a predicted model, not a curated record. NCBI's taxonomy places the organism in Eukaryota, Viridiplantae, Streptophyta, Magnoliopsida, Poales, Poaceae.